Molecule: ribosomal RNA, 534 nt
Filed under: uncultured Alphaproteobacteria bacterium
Lineage: Bacteria; Pseudomonadati; Pseudomonadota; Alphaproteobacteria
Description: bacterial SSU rRNA
Rfam family: Bacterial small subunit ribosomal RNA
Source: RNAcentral
CGCAGUGGGGAAUCUUGGACAAUGGGCGCAAGCCUGAUCCAGCCAUGCCGCGUGAGUGAUGAAGGCCUUAGGGUCGUAAAGCUCUUUCGCCAGAGAUGAUAAUGACAGUAUCUGGUAAAGAAACCCCGGCUAACUCCGUGCCAGCAGCCGCGGUAAUACGGAGGGGGUUAGCGUUGUUCGGAAUUACUGGGCGUAAAGCGUACGUAGGCGGAUUAGUCAGUCAGAGGUGAAAUCCCAGGGCUCAACCCUGGAACUGCCUUUGAUACUGCUAGUCUUGAGUUCGAGAGAGGUGAGUGGAAUUCCAAGUGUAGAGGUGAAAUUCGUAGAUAUUUGGAGGAACACCAGUGGCGAAGGCGGCUCACUGGCUCGAUACUGACGCUGAGGUACGAAAGUGUGGGGAGCAAACAGGAUUAGAUACCCUGGUAGUCCACACCGUAAACGAUGAAUGCCAGUCGUCGGGCAGUAUACUGUUCGGUGACACACCUAACGGAUUAAGCAUUCCGCCUGGGGAGUACGGUCGCAAGAUUAAAACCA